GGAGAGGUGUCCGAGAGGCCGAAGGAACGCGACUGGAAAUCGCGUGUAGUGCCACAAGCGCUACCGUGGGUUCGAAUCCCACCCUCUCCGCCA
Molecule: transfer RNA, 93 nt
Filed under: bacterium
Lineage: Bacteria
Also listed under: 3 other names
Description: tRNA-Ser
Rfam family: tRNA
About the family: Transfer RNA (tRNA) molecules are approximately 80 nucleotides in length.
Source: RNAcentral